AAUGUGGUUAAUGAUGUAUAUUCUUUUUUCCCCAUCUUAUCGACAAUGCUGAAAACCAGCUGUUAAUAAGCCAAAUGUGUCUGAAACCACAUC
RNAcentral lists this small nucleolar RNA (93 nucleotides) under Kryptolebias marmoratus (mangrove rivulus). RNAcentral's name for it is "Small nucleolar SNORD12/SNORD106 (ENSKMAG00000006970.1)". It matches the Rfam family "Small nucleolar SNORD12/SNORD106". From Rfam's summary of the family: This family belong to the C/D class of snoRNA which contain the C (UGAUGA) and D (CUGA) box motifs. This family includes the human ortholog of mouse snoRNA HBII-99 and human snoRNA U106. Lineage: Eukaryota; Metazoa; Chordata; Actinopteri; Cyprinodontiformes; Rivulidae. The record is from Rfam by way of RNAcentral.